Molecule: ribosomal RNA, 1528 nt
Filed under: Salmonella enterica subsp. enterica
Lineage: Bacteria; Pseudomonadati; Pseudomonadota; Gammaproteobacteria; Enterobacterales; Enterobacteriaceae
Description: 16S ribosomal RNA
Rfam family: Bacterial small subunit ribosomal RNA
Source: RNAcentral
AAAUUGAAGAGUUUGAUCAUGGCUCAGAUUGAACGCUGGCGGCAGGCUAACACAUGCAAGUCGAACGGUAACAGGGAAGCAGCUUGCUGCUUUGCUGAGCGAAGUGGCGAGACGGGUGAGUAAUGUCUGGGAAACACCUGAUGGAGGGGAUAACUACUGAAACGGUGGCUAAUUUCCGCAUAACGUCGCAAGACCAAAAGAGAGGACCUUCGGGCCUCUUGCCAUCAGAUGUGUGCCCAGAUGGGAUUAGCUAGUUGGUGAGGUAACGGCUCACCAAGGCGACGAUCCUAGCUGGUCUGAGGAGGAUGACCAGCCACACUGGAACUGAAGACACGGUCCAGACUCCUACGGGAGGCAGCAGUGGGGAAUGUGUGCACAAUAGGCGCAAGCCUGAUGCAGCCAUGCCGCGUGUAUGAAGAAGGCCUUCGGGUUGUAAAGUACUUUUCAGCGGGGAGGAAGGUAUUUGUGGUUAAUAACCGCAGCAAUUGACGUUACCCGCAGAAAGCACCGGCUAACUCCGUGCCAGCAGCGCGUAUACGGAGGGUGCAAGCGUUAAUCAGAUUACUGGGCAAAAGCGCACGCAGGCGGUCUGUCAAGUCGGAUGUGAAAUCCCCGGGCUCAACACAGGAACUGCAUUCGAAACUGGCUUGGAAGCAGUGCUUGAGGGGUAUUCCCGAGGUGUAGCGGUGAAAUGCGUAGAGAUCUGGAGGAAUACCGGUGGCGAGGCGGCUCCGCAGUUAAGACUGACGCUCAGGUGCAGCGUGGGGAGCAAACAGGAUUAGAUACCCACUGUUAGUCACGCCGUAAGCGAUGACACACUUGGAGGUUGUGCCCUUGAGGCGUAUUUCCGGAGCUAACGCGUUGAAGCAGAACGCACGGGAGUACGGCUGCAAGGUUAAAGCACCAAAUGAAUUGACGGGGGGCCCGCACAAGCGGUGGAGCAUGGCAAGUUUAAUUCGAUGCAACGCGAAGAACCUGAUGUGACAUCACGGAAGUUUUCAGAAGGAUGAGGGGAAUGUGCCUUCGGGAACCGUGGGGCUUAAGGUGCUGCGGCGGCUGUCGUCAGCUCGUGUUGUGAAAUGUUGGGUUAAGUCGCAACGACGCCUCCCUUUGUUGCCAGCGGUAAGAUUGAAGGGAACUCCAAGGGCUGCCAGUGAUAAACUGGAGGGAAGGUGGGAUGACGUCCAAGUCAUCAUGGCCCUUACGACGGGGCUACACACGUGCUUUACAAUAUGGCGCAUACAAGAAGAAACGCGACCUCGCGAGCAAGCAGGACUCGUAAAGUGCGUCGUAGUCGGAUUGGAGUCUGCAGCUCGACUUCGCGAAGUCGGAAUCGCUAGUAAUAGUGGAUCAGAAUACGGUGAAUACGUUCCAGACGCUAGCGCACCGCCCGUCACACCAUGGGAGUAGGUUGCAAAAGUAGGUAGCUUAACCUUCGGGAGGGCGCUUACCACUUUGUGAUUCAUGACUGGGGUAGAAGUCGUAACAAGGUAACCGUAGGAGAACCUGCGGUUGGAUCACUCCUUAC